GUGGGGAAUUUUGGACAAUGGGGGCAACCCUGAUCCAGCCAUUCCGCGUGAGUGAAGAAGGCCUUCGGGUUGUAAAGCUCUUUCGGCAGGAACGAAACGGUGAGCUCUAACAUAGCUCGCUAAUGACGGUACCUGAAGAAGAAGCACCGGCUAACUACGUGCCAGCAGCCGCGGUAAUACGUAGGGUGCGAGCGUUAAUCGGAAUUACUGGGCGUAAAGCGUGCGCAGGCGGUUGUGUAAGACAGGUGUGAAAUCCCCGGGCUUAACCUGGGAACUGCGCUUGUGACUGCACGGCUAGAGUAUGGCAGAGGGGGGUGGAAUUCCACGUGUAGCAGUGAAAUGCGUAGAUAUGCGGAGGAACACCGAUGGCGAAGGCAAUCCCCUGGGCCUGCACUGACGCUCAUGCACGAAAGCGUGGGGAGCAAACAGGAUUAGAUACCCUUGUAGUCC
Molecule: ribosomal RNA, 450 nt
Filed under: uncultured bacterium
Lineage: Bacteria
Description: partial 16S ribosomal RNA
Rfam family: Bacterial small subunit ribosomal RNA
Source: RNAcentral